Long non-coding RNA from Mauremys mutica (yellowpond turtle), 305 nucleotides. RefSeq lists it as uncharacterized. The transcript has 3 exons. Lineage: Eukaryota; Metazoa; Chordata; Testudines; Geoemydidae. The record is from RefSeq and is a predicted model, not a curated record.
AUUCCACAGAGACAGGCAGCUGCAGCCCUUAAGAGGCCAGUUUGCAACUAGCUGCUGUUUGCUGCAUCUCUUGCUCUUACAGCUGCUUUGCUGGAACCGAGAGGAUCUGGAUGUGUUAUUUACCGUAUUGCUUCAAAGGAUUCUCAACAAGGUGCCUGAUCUCUACAACAGUAGCUGCAAAUCGCACCAUAGUUAAUGGGCCUUAUCCCAGAAGGUGACUCCUGAAAGAUGCUCUGGGCCCUCGGCUCCCACUGGAAUCAGCAGGACUGCACCCUCCAGGCUUGGAGUAGGUGGUGCAUACAACU